Molecule: ribosomal RNA, 301 nt
Filed under: uncultured bacterium
Lineage: Bacteria
Description: partial 16S ribosomal RNA
Rfam family: Bacterial small subunit ribosomal RNA
Source: RNAcentral
CAGCAGCCACGGUAAGACGGAGGGUGCUAGCGUUGUUCGGAAUCACUGGGCGUAAAGGGCGCGUAGGCGGCCUGUUAAGUCGGAUGUGAAAGCCCGGGGCUCAACCCCGGAACUGCAUCCGAGACUGGCAGGCUUGAGACCGGGAGAGGAGGGUGGAAUAUCCAGUGUAGAGGUGAAAUUCGUAGAUAUUGGAUGGAACACCGGUGGCGAAAGCGGCUCUCUGGCCCGGAUCUGACGCUGAGGCGCGAAAGCGUGGGGAGCAAACAGGAUUAGAUACCCCGGUAGUCCCUGUCUCUUAUAC